This 61-nucleotide non-coding RNA is filed under the name Lactobacillus amylolyticus. Its description in RNAcentral is "Fluoride sequence". It matches the Rfam family "Fluoride riboswitch aptamer (crcB RNA motif)". Lineage: Bacteria; Bacillati; Bacillota; Bacilli; Lactobacillales; Lactobacillaceae. The record is from RNAcentral.
AAUCAAAUAGGCGAUGACGUUCGCCAUUAACUGAGUAAAAUCUGAUGACGUCUACUACCUC